RNAcentral lists this ribosomal RNA (386 nucleotides) under Ceratocystis fimbriata. Its description in RNAcentral is "LSU rRNA". It matches the Rfam family "Eukaryotic large subunit ribosomal RNA", at positions 264 to 662 of the family's 3401-position model. The record is from RNAcentral. Lineage: Eukaryota; Fungi; Ascomycota; Sordariomycetes; Microascales; Ceratocystidaceae.
GUCGAGUUGUUUGGGAAUGCUGCUCUAAAUGGGAGGUAUAUCUCUUCUAAAGCUAAAUAUAGGCUAGAGACCGAUAGCGCACAAGUAGAGUGAUCGAAAGAUGAAAAGCACUUUGAAAAGAGAGUUAAACAGCACGUGAAAUUGUUGAAAGGGAAGCGCCUAUGACCAGACUUGUUUCUGGCAGUUUCGUUAGCCCUCGGGCUGAUUUACUCUGUCCAGUACAGGCCAGCAUCAGUUUGNUGUCGGGGAGAAAGGCUCUGGGAACGUAGCUCCCCCCUUCUGGGGGGAGUGUUAUAGCCCUCUGCAUAAUACCCUUCGGCAGACUGAGGACCGCGCUUCGGCAAGGAUGCUGGCGUAAUGGUCAUCAGCGACCCGUCUUGAAACAC